Symphalangus syndactylus (siamang) is the source of this 527-nucleotide long non-coding RNA. RefSeq lists it as uncharacterized. Lineage: Eukaryota; Metazoa; Chordata; Mammalia; Primates; Hylobatidae. The record is from RefSeq and is a predicted model, not a curated record.
UCUUAAAUGUGGGAAAUAGUCUAUAGUUUGGAAGACACCAGAGAAAAAUGCUCCACAGCUCACCCUGGUGACUCACUACAACUUAUGGGAAGAUGCUUUUCUCCAGUGUGACCUUGUGCAAAUCAUUUUCCUUUCGUGGCCUCAACAUCAUUUGAAAAAUAACGGACUGCACUAGAUGACUUAGUCUUGGCAACACAGAGGCCACUGGACAGAGGCAUAACCUUGCGUGGCAGCUGCACAGGAAUUGGAUUUGGCUCAGCUUGUUUCAGAUGACUAAGGGUGGCCUCAGAAGGCUUUUCUCCAUUAACAAUCUCAUCAGGUGACUUUGAGAGCCACUUCCAUGAGAUGGCUGUGUUGACAACUCAGAGAGUUCCACCACAAGGACUGACUCGGUCUGAAAAAAUGACAGCACAUAGAUGGAAGGAAACAGAAAACCAAAAGAACCUGCCUUACUAUACCUCUAUGGCCCUUCAAAGGCGAGAGUAGAAUCUGCUAUGAUUUAGUAGCAAACAAGAAAAAGUACACAU